UGGGGAAUCUUGCACAAUGGGGGAAACCCUGAUGCAGCGACGCCGCGUGAGCGAUGAAGGUUUUCGAAUCGUAAAGCUCUGUCCUAUGGGAAGAUAAUGACGGUACCAUAGGAGGAAGCCCCGGCUAACUACGUGCCAGCAGCCGCGGUAAUACGUAGGGGGCGAGCGUUGUCCGGAAUUACUGGGCGUAAAGGGUUCGCAGGCGGCAUGACAAGUCCGAUGUAAAAGGCGAAAGCUCAACUUUCGUAAGCAUCGGAAACUGUCAGGCUUGAGUGAAGGAGAGGCCAGUGGAGUUCCUCGUGUAGCGGAGGAAUGCGUAGAUAUUAGGAGGAAUACCGGUGGCGAAGGCGACUUGCUGGACUUCAACUGACGCUGAGGAACGAAAGCGUGGGUAGCAAACAGG
This 403-nucleotide ribosomal RNA is filed under the name bacterium. RNAcentral's name for it is "partial 16S ribosomal RNA". It matches the Rfam family "Bacterial small subunit ribosomal RNA", at positions 355 to 776 of the family's 1533-position model. The record is from RNAcentral.